This 1329-nucleotide ribosomal RNA is filed under the name Triticum aestivum (bread wheat). Its description in RNAcentral is "partial small subunit ribosomal RNA". The record is from RNAcentral. Lineage: Eukaryota; Viridiplantae; Streptophyta; Magnoliopsida; Poales; Poaceae.
AUGGAGAAGAAAGGCACGAUCGCACGUCGCUCGCUCGCAGGUACACCGCGCGCCGGCCCUAGUGGAGAAGGAUCGCUGGAGACGCUGCCGGACGACGUGGUGGUGGAGAUCCUGGUGCGCGUGCCGGAUGUGGCAGACCUCUUCCGCUGCGCCGCGACGUGCAAGCGAUGCCGCCUCCUCAUCGCCGAGCCGUCUUUCCUCCGCCGCCGCUGGCCGGAGGGCGUGAGCCACCUGUCCUCCCUGCUCGGCCUCUUCGCCGUGCAACAGCCCCGUGAAGAACCAACAGAAGGGGACUCUACGGCUGCGCCCAUGCCGCCCUUCACCCCGGUGCCAUGGUGCUCCCUCGGAGAACGCUACAGCUUCCUCACAUGCCCUUGGCCUCCAGACAGCCAGGCAGCGGUGCUCACCUCGCGCCGUGGCCUUCUUGUUCUGCGCUUCGUCCCACUAAACGAACCCACCAAUGGAUACGAGAAGACCAUGAACCUGGCAUUGUACGAUCCAAUCGCCGGCAAAGGCCGUGACCUGCCUGAGUUGAAGAGCGACAGACCUUUCCAAAUAGAAGGAUGCGCCCUUCUGACCCGUGCCGAUUGUUGCCCGGACGAAACGCGAGGGGCGACGUCGUGGUCCUUCUUCAAAGUGCUAAUCAUCGGCGGCGAUCGAGAUGAGCCACGGCACAGUCUCCAUGUGUUCACUUCCACGACGGAGUCGAGCUCGAGCUGGAGCACGCCUAGGGAGUGCUAUGACUCUUUGGAGGAUGACGACACGCGUGUCGUGUCUCAGCAGACCACCGCUGUCGUGUGCCACGGUGGCAUUGCGCAUUGGCUCUUCAAGAAUGCGUCCAACUUGUACGCACUCAGUGUGUGCGCUAGGACCACAGAGAUGACCUUGACAAGGCUCCCAGUCACACCGGACCAAACUCAGCCACUGCUUGGAGUCAACAAUGAUGGGACGCCAUGCUUGCUUCGCUUGGACGGGAAAUGCUUCAUGCUAGAGAUCUGGACACGCCGGAUUGACCCCAUGAGUGGAGACAGCAACACAGGGCACUGGCAUCGCACCAAGAUGAUCAAGUUACAACGACCCAAGCGUGGCAAGAUCGACCAGGCGCAGUGCGUGUGUGUGGGUCAGACGAGUGGCAUACUGCUCGUCAAGGACAAUCAAGAAGACAUGUACAUUGUAGAUCUCCAAACAGGGGCAAUGCAGGCGGUCACCAACUGGUUCCGCGGCAUUGUCGUGAUGGCCAUCCCUUUUGAGAUGGAUUGGCCAGAAUUCUUCACGCGCCACUUGGCAAACACUAGGAUCGAGCGAGCUAAACUGGGAGGAGUUCUAUAA